Molecule: ribosomal RNA, 521 nt
Filed under: Rana pseudodalmatina
Lineage: Eukaryota; Metazoa; Chordata; Amphibia; Anura; Ranidae
Description: partial 16S ribosomal RNA
Rfam family: Bacterial large subunit ribosomal RNA
Source: RNAcentral
AGUGACAAAGUUCAACGGCCGCGGUACCCUAACCGUGCGAAGGUAGCAUAAUCACUUGUUCUUUAAAUGAGGACUUGUAUCAACGGCACUACGAGGGCUAUACUGUCUCCUUUUUCUAAUCAGUGAAACUGAUCUCCCCGUGAAGAAGCGGGGAUCAAAAUAUAAGACGAAGAGACCCCAUGGAGCUUUAAACUCACCACACACCUCUGUGAUGCUAUACCAUUAAACACAAGAAAUCUGUGUGCUAGUUUUAGGUUGGGGUGACCACGGAGUACAAUUUAACCUCCAUAACAAAUGGGCUAAUACCCUUAUCCACGAGACACAACUCUAAGAAUUACUAAACUAAUGCUUAUGACCCGAUAUUCGAUCAAUGAACCAAGUUACCCUGGGGAUAACAGCGCAAUCUACUUCAAGAGUCCCUAUCGACAAGUAGGUUUACGACCUCGAUGUUGGAUCAGGGUAUCCCGGUGGUGCAGCCGCUACCGAUGGUUCGUUUGUUCAACGAUUAAAACCCUACGUGA